AACGCGAAGAACCUUACCUGGGUUUGACAUGCACAGGACGCCAGUAGAGAUAUUGGUUCCCUUGUGGCCUGUGUGCAGGUGGUGCAUGGCUGUCGUCAGCUCGUGUCGUGAGAUGUUGGGUUAAGUCCCGCAACGAGCGCAACCCUUGUCUCAUGUUGCCAGCACGUUAUGGUGGGGACUCGUGAGAGACUGCCGGGGUCAACUCGGAGGAAGGUGGGGAUGACGUCAAGUCAUCAUGCCCCUUAUGUCCAGGGCUUCACACAUGCUACAAUGGCCGGUACAAAGGGCUGCGAUGCCGUGAGGUGGAGCGAAUCCUUUCAAAGCCGGUCUCAGUUCGGAUCGGGGUCUGCAACUCGACCCCGUGAAGUCGGAGUCGCUAGUAAUCGCAGAUCAGCAACGCUGCGGUGAAUACGUUCCCGGGUCUUGUACACACCG
Molecule: ribosomal RNA, 435 nt
Filed under: uncultured bacterium
Lineage: Bacteria
Description: bacterial SSU rRNA
Rfam family: Bacterial small subunit ribosomal RNA
Source: RNAcentral